AGCAGUUAGGAUGCUUGCAAUCAUGAAGAC
Molecule: non-coding RNA, 30 nt
Filed under: Mus musculus (house mouse)
Lineage: Eukaryota; Metazoa; Chordata; Mammalia; Rodentia; Muridae
Source: RNAcentral